GCCAGGCGUGGUGGCUCACGCCUGUAAUCCCAGCACUUUGGGAGGCCAAGGUGGGUGGAUCACCUGAGGUCAGGAGUUCGAGACCAGCCUGACCAACAUGGUGAAACCCCAUCUCUA
Molecule: non-coding RNA, 117 nt
Filed under: Pan troglodytes (chimpanzee)
Lineage: Eukaryota; Metazoa; Chordata; Mammalia; Primates; Hominidae
Source: Rfam by way of RNAcentral